AGUGGGGUGGCUGAGAUUAAUAAGUAGGCGAUAGGCUGUAAAUCUAUUAAGGGAUGUUGACGUUGUCCCCCCACUA
Molecule: transfer RNA, 76 nt
Filed under: Acorhinotermes subfusciceps
Lineage: Eukaryota; Metazoa; Arthropoda; Insecta; Blattodea; Rhinotermitidae
Description: tRNA-Tyr
Source: RNAcentral